ACCAGAUUGCAAAAGGGGUUCAUGACACACCAAUCUGGAAAUUAUUUGGAUUUCAUGAGAAUUAUAGGUCUAUAGAAUUCUAUAGAAUAUGAAAGCUAUUACCUCACAAUAAUCCCAGGAGGUAGAUUGGAAUGGCAUUAAUAUAACCCUUUUUACAGAUAAGAAAACUGAAGUUUGUAGAGGUUUUGACUUUCCCAAGUUUCACAGUCUAUAAAUAGCAGAACCAAGAUUAGAAACUAAGUAUACUGAUGUCAACUACCAAAAAAUAUAUAUCUUUCUACCAUAUCACUGACAUCCAUGUUUAGAAAACUAUCCACUCGAAAAGCAAUCAUAAAAAGAUGGAAGAAAAGUAGGGACAAUCUAAUUAAGUCCUUUUCGUGGAGGUAUGACUACACCUAUACAAUGCCUGGCUGAUUGCCAAACAUCCACAUUUUAUAGCAAAUGAGCAAUGUACUUAUCUCCUCUGCUUAUAUCAACUCAUGCUUUGAAUCCUGUCAGGACAUUCGUAUAUUCCUCUGACUUAAGUUCCUCAUUCUACAGCACCAACCUAUUUACUCACAUGAAAUAAAUCUACAAAUAUUUAUUGCUGGCCUCUUCUUUUUUUUUCUUAUAAGGGCACAGACCACUAGACAAGAAGGAAUAUGUCAAAGUGCCAGACUUUUUCACAUAAAGUUUCUUUAGAAAAGCACCCUGGACUACUGGAUAUAGUGGUGGACCUUAGAAUCCAGAAGAAUUGGUUGGAACUCUACUUUGGACUCUACCUACAUAAUCAAAGGGAAAGAAACUCAAAAGGCAGCCAGCAGAUAUCCAAAACUUCUCCAUCAGAUGCUGUAUUUCAUGUCAACUUUACCUACAAAAUCUGUGGAAAGGUUCCUGAAAGAGCUCCCCCUGACAUACCUUGGAUGCUGCUCUUGAUGCCAUCAAGAGAAAAGCUGGAAUGUGAGUCUUCCUCCCAUCUCCCUUCACCCCAGCCAGAAGUACAUCUGAGAGGCGGUAAAAUACAUCAGAAAAGGAAGAAAGAGGAUAUAUAUGAUUGA
This 1037-nucleotide long non-coding RNA is filed under the name Monodelphis domestica (gray short-tailed opossum). RNAcentral describes it as "lncRNA (ENSMODG00000044294.1)". The record is from RNAcentral. Lineage: Eukaryota; Metazoa; Chordata; Mammalia; Didelphimorphia; Didelphidae.